AAGAAGCGGAAACCCUGUCCUGAGCAGAGCAUUCUAGCAGUUGACACUAUGAAGGGGACACUGCUUAUGCUGGCCUUGCUGGUGACCAGAGAGCUGGGCAUUGAGAUGGUGGAAGCUUGCCCUAUUUUUUAUGAAGUCUUUGGCACGGUGGCCCUUGGAGACGAGACACUGUUGAACGUCUCCCUUGAUCUGGUCAGUGCUACUGAACCGGAAAAAAUAGCCAUAGGAAAAAUCCAGGAUUGCUACAAUGAGGCGGGACCCGUAUCCAAAAUCUUGGAUCUGAUCGUCAUGGUUAGGGGAGCUGGCAUUGCAGGAGUAGAAUUUUAACCUCUGGUGGGAAAGAAAGAGUUCAGUCCUGGCACAUGUAGGAGCCAUCAGCUCUACUUUAGAAAUGUUUAAAAUGAGCACCUGCCUUUAGAUUCUUCCCAGGAAGGGACUCCCUGGCUUGAGUACCAUCACCACCAGCGGCGAAUGCAUCAGCCACGCAGUGGACACGCUGACAGAUUUUGAAG
This is a non-coding RNA of Ceratotherium simum simum (southern white rhinoceros), 512 nucleotides long. The record is from RefSeq and is a predicted model, not a curated record. Lineage: Eukaryota; Metazoa; Chordata; Mammalia; Perissodactyla; Rhinocerotidae.